Long non-coding RNA from Homo sapiens (human), 994 nucleotides. Ensembl annotates it as long intergenic non-protein coding RNA 3105. NCBI's taxonomy places the organism in Eukaryota, Metazoa, Chordata, Mammalia, Primates, Hominidae. The record is from Ensembl.
CGCUUUGGGAGCCCCGGGCUACUCUUUCACAGCCCCUGUUGCCCUGUGAUCUGUAGGUCCUUGGGGACGCACAGUUAAGAUGACAGGACAUCCUGGAAGCUGGGAAAUGAUAUGUAUUCAUUUCCUACCACCGUAGUGGAAGAGAGAUUUUCCCUAUCUUUACAACUGAUAGCAUUUCCAACAGUAAGCUGUGAGAUUCUGCUUGAAAUCACCUCUCAAACAAAUAAAAAACAGACCUGGGAGACAUGCUACACUCAUUCUGCUGAGGAAAUAGGCAUCAUAGCUGGGAAACGGAUUCACAAGACCCAGGCUGUUCCCUACAUAUGUUUCCUCCUCCGACAUCAGUUCAUCAGUCAAUCAAGCCAUGUGAGAGUGGAGGCCUUGUAUUCCCUAUUAUUCUUGGGCACUCUACUCCAAGUAGGAAAAGGCCAGGAGGUCCUGUUAAAGGAUGCACUCAGAGCCCGGGCUCCCUAACAUAUGAGAGUGCUAACCAGCAGGUGUAGACUUUUCAGGAGUGAAGAAUGAGGCAGGCAUUCCAAACCUGGACCUUCAUCACCUUUUGUUUCAUCUCAAGACAAUUCUGAGGGACUGUUUUGGAGCGUGUCUGGAAGGUGAACCUUGAAGAAGAGUGUGGGCUUUGAUGUGACUCAGUUGAGAUCUUUCAUGGGGAGGCAGGAAUUCAAUGCCCAGAAUCUGGGCUGGUGUCUUUGAGGUCAGUAGGUUGCGUCUUUGUAUCCAAGUCCAUUGUUACUAGGUUGGAGGCUGGAGAUUCUAAAUGGCUUCCAGACCAUCUCUCUGAUUCUCUUUGGGAGAUGGGGUCUGAAAGACAAUGUCAGUAGUUUUGGGAAAUUCUAGAAAGUGUGCUUGGAAACGUGGGAAGAGCUCUUGCCUAGUGCCUAAAUGCUCCAUUUGCAGCUCUAGCCAAGUAGAUACUUGGUAGGUAUAGAGCCGGGUUUGCGUUUAUAUCAGCAAAACCUAUGUCAGAGUUGAAGAA